UCCGGUAGGUGAACUGCGGAAGGAUCAUUA
This 30-nucleotide ribosomal RNA is filed under the name Flammulina velutipes. RNAcentral describes it as "partial 18S ribosomal RNA". Lineage: Eukaryota; Fungi; Basidiomycota; Agaricomycetes; Agaricales; Physalacriaceae. The record is from RNAcentral.